AUUGAACGCUGGCGGAAUGCUUUACACAUGCAAGUCGAACGGUAGAGGGGGCAACCCCUUGAGAGUGGCGAACGGGUGAGUAAUAUAUCGGAACGUGCCCAGUCGUGGGGAUAACGUAGCGAAAGUUACGCUAAUACCGCAUACGAUCUAAGGAUGAAAGCGGGGGAUCGCAAGACCUCGCGCGAUUGGAGCGGCCGAUAUCAGAUUAGGUAGUUGGUGAGGUAAAGGCUCACCAAGCCAACGAUCUGUAGCUGGUCUGAGAGGACGACCAGCCACACUGGAACUGAGACACGGCCCAGACUCCUACGGGAGGCAGCAGUGGGGAAUUUUGGACAAUGGGCGCAAGCCUGAUCCAGCAAUGCCGCGUGCAGGAUGAAGGCCU
Molecule: ribosomal RNA, 382 nt
Filed under: uncultured bacterium
Lineage: Bacteria
Description: bacterial SSU rRNA
Rfam family: Bacterial small subunit ribosomal RNA
Source: RNAcentral